This 492-nucleotide ribosomal RNA is filed under the name uncultured bacterium. RNAcentral describes it as "partial 16S ribosomal RNA". It matches the Rfam family "Bacterial small subunit ribosomal RNA", at positions 29 to 507 of the family's 1533-position model. The record is from RNAcentral.
AAUGAACGCUGGCGGCAGGCCUAACACAUGCAAGUCGAGCGAAAGCACAAUGAGCUUUCUCCCCUACCGUUGGCGAGUGACGGGUGGGUAACACGUAGAUAGCCUUCUAAUUUUUCGUGGGUGAUUACGUAGAGAAGCUUCCACUACUGCCGAAUAUGUCCAACGGCUGAAAGCAGGAGUUCUUGAGGACUUGCCUGUCUCAAUUAGACGGUGCCGGAUUAGCUAGUUGGCUAGGUAAGGGCCCACCAAGGCAACGAUCCGUAGCUGAUCUGAGAGGAUGAUCAGCCACACUGGAACUGAGACACGGUCCAGACUCCUACGGGAGGCAGCAGUGGGGAAUAUUGGGCAAUGGGCGCAAGCCUGACGCAGCCAUGCCGCGUGGGUGAAGAAGGUCUUCGGGUUGUAAAGCUCUGUUGUUGGGAAAGAAAAACAGCGGAUGUAUACCCCGCUGUUCUGACGGUACCUAAAGAGAAAGCACCGGCUAACUUCGUG